GGCAGUUUUUGGGUGACGCACCCCAGAAUCAGGCUCUCUCCUCUCUGGUUCUGGAUGCGUCACUGGAGAACCACC
Molecule: non-coding RNA, 75 nt
Organism: Myotis davidii
Lineage: Eukaryota; Metazoa; Chordata; Mammalia; Chiroptera; Vespertilionidae
Source: Rfam